Molecule: ribosomal RNA, 642 nt
Filed under: uncultured marine eukaryote
Lineage: Eukaryota
Description: SSU rRNA
Rfam family: Eukaryotic small subunit ribosomal RNA
Source: RNAcentral
UUGCGGUUAAAAAGCUCGUAGUUGGAUUUCUGUCAGAGACGGCCGGUCCGCACUAGUUGCGUGUAUCUGGUUCGGCUAGGGCAUCCUCUUGGGGAUCGUUUCUGUGCUUCAUUGCAUGGGGCGGAAUUCAAGACUUUUACUUUGAGGAAAUUAGAGUGUUCACGGCAAGCAAUCGCUUUGAAUACAUUAGCAUGGAAUAAUAAUAUAGGGCGUAAGUUCUAUUUUGUUGGUUUCUAGGACAUACGCAAUGAUUAAUAGGGACAAUUGGGGGCAUUCGUAUUAACGCGUCAGGGGUGGAAUUCUUAGAUUGCGUUACGACGAACUACUGCGAAAGCAUUUGCCAAGGAUGUUUUCAUUGAUCAAGAACGAAAGUAUGGGGAUCGAAGACGAUUAGAUACCGUCGUAGUCUAUACCAUAAACUAUGCCAAUUAGAGAUUGGAGGUCGUUCGUUUUAUGGCACCUUCAGCACCUUAUGAGAAAUCAAAAUUUUUGGGUUCCGGGGGGAGUAUGGUCGCAAGGCUGAAACUUAAAGGAAUUGACGGAAAGGCACCACCAGGAGUGGAGCCUGCGGCUAAAUUUGACUCAACACGGGAAAACUUACCAGGUCCAGACAUAGUAAGGAUUGACAGAUUGAUAGCUCUU